GCGCCCAUAAACCGGACUCAAAUAAUGUUAAGAUGAUACAGGCCCCCAAACCUGGAUGAUUCAACUACGGAUCAAGAGGUUGGGGGUUCGAAUCCCUCCGGGCGCG
Molecule: transfer RNA, 106 nt
Filed under: Micromonosporaceae bacterium
Lineage: Bacteria; Bacillati; Actinomycetota; Actinomycetes; Micromonosporales; Micromonosporaceae
Description: tRNA-Ser
Source: RNAcentral